UACGUAGGGUGCAAGCGUUUGUCCGGAAUUAUUGGGCGUAAAGAGCUCGUAGGCGGUUUGUUGCGUCGGCUGUGAAAUCCCGAGGCUCAACCUCGGGUCUGCAGUCGAUACGAGCAAACUAGAGUGUUGCAGGGGAGACUGGAAUUCCUGGUGAUAGCGGUGAAAUGCGCAGAUAUCAGGAGGAACACCGGUGGCGAAGGCGGGUCUCUGGGCCGAAACUGACGCUGGAGGAGCGAAAGCAUGGGGAGCGAACAGG
This 256-nucleotide ribosomal RNA is filed under the name uncultured bacterium. Its description in RNAcentral is "partial 16S ribosomal RNA". It matches the Rfam family "Bacterial small subunit ribosomal RNA", at positions 524 to 776 of the family's 1533-position model. The record is from RNAcentral.